RNAcentral lists this ribosomal RNA (157 nucleotides) under Metarhizium sp. NHJ13933.01. Its description in RNAcentral is "Metacordyceps sp. NHJ13933.01 5.8S ribosomal RNA". It matches the Rfam family "5.8S ribosomal RNA". Rfam says of the family: 5.8S ribosomal RNA (5.8S rRNA) is a component of the large subunit of the eukaryotic ribosome. It is transcribed by RNA polymerase I as part of the 45S precursor that also contains 18S and 28S rRNA. Functionally, it is thought that 5.8S rRNA may be involved in ribosome translocation. Lineage: Eukaryota; Fungi; Ascomycota; Sordariomycetes; Hypocreales; Clavicipitaceae. The record is from RNAcentral.
AAACUUUCAACAACGGAUCUCUUGGUUCUGGCAUCGAUGAAAAACGCAGCGAAAUGCGAUAAGUAAUGUGAAUUGCAGAAUUCAGUGAAUCAUCGAAUCUUUGAACGCACAUUGCGCCCGCCAGUAUUCUGGCGGGCAUGCCUGUUCAAGCGUCNUU